Molecule: long non-coding RNA, 336 nt
Filed under: Coturnix japonica (Japanese quail)
Lineage: Eukaryota; Metazoa; Chordata; Aves; Galliformes; Phasianidae
Description: lncRNA (ENSCJPG00005018191.1)
Source: RNAcentral
UAAAAAACAGUCAUAUAGCACAACUCUCUUGUAUGACUGUAAAUCCCAAGUUUAUUAAAAUAGUGAUCUGAGACUCCUGCAAGUAAAAAAAAUGCCUGCUCUGUCGUGCCUCAGUCUUUAGGAAGACUGCUCAAGCAGUCCUUUGGAAAGCAUAGCUCACCUUUAACCACGUGGGAGCUGAAGGCACAGAAAGCUGUUCUUCUCACCUCAACUAGGAUGUAUAAAUUGGUGGCUUGAUCGGGGAGCAAUCUGGUACCUGAUAUUUGUGAAUAAGGAUGGAAGAAGAUCCCUGAAAAGCUUAAUUUUGAGACAAAAAUAAACAGGAAGACAACCUCA